Molecule: ribosomal RNA, 453 nt
Filed under: uncultured bacterium
Lineage: Bacteria
Description: bacterial SSU rRNA
Rfam family: Bacterial small subunit ribosomal RNA
Source: RNAcentral
GAUGAACGCUGGCGGCGUGCCUAACACAUGCAAGUCGAGCGAUUCUCUUCGGAGAAGAGCGGCGGACGGGUGAGUAACGCGUGGGUAACCUGCCCUGUACACACGGAUAACAUACCGAAAGGUAUGCUAAUACGGGAUAACAUAAGAAAUUCGCAUGUUUUUCUUAUCAAAGCUCCGGCGGUACAGGAUGGACCCGCGUCUGAUUAGCUAGUUGGUGAGGUAACGGCUCACCAAGGCAACGAUCAGUAGCCGACCUGAGAGGGUGAUCGGCCACAUUGGAACUGAGACACGGUCCAAACUCCUACGGGAGGCAGCAGUGGGGAAUAUUGCACAAUGGGCGAAAGCCUGAUGCAGCAACGCCGCGUGAGCGAUGAAGGCCUUCGGGUCGUAAAGCUCUGUCCUCAAGGAAGAUAAUGACGGUACUUGAGGAGGAAGCCCCGGGCUAACUACGUG